AACGAACGCUGGCGGCAUGCCUAACACAUGCAAGUCGAACGAGACCUUCGGGUCUAGUGGCGCACGGGUGCGUAACGCGUGGGAACCUGCCCUUAGGUUCGGAAUAACUCCCCGAAAGGGGUGCUAAUACCGGAUAAUGUCUUCGGACCAAAGAUUUAUCGCCUUUGGAUGGGCCCGCGUUGGAUUAGCUAGUUGGUAGGGUAAAAGCCUACCAAGACGACGAUCCAUAGCUGGUCUGAGAGGAUGAUCAGCCACACUGGGACUGAGACACGGCCCAGACUGCGACGGGAGGGAGGAGUGUGGAAUAUUGGAAGAGGGACGAAAGCCUAACAAAGCAGUGCCGCGGGGGUGAUAAAGGCCGUAGGGAUGUAAAGCUCUUUGACCCGGGAUGAGAAUGACAGUACCGGGAGAAGAAGCACCGGCUAACUCCGUG
RNAcentral lists this ribosomal RNA (433 nucleotides) under uncultured bacterium. RNAcentral describes it as "partial 16S ribosomal RNA". It matches the Rfam family "Bacterial small subunit ribosomal RNA", at positions 29 to 507 of the family's 1533-position model. The record is from RNAcentral.